RNAcentral lists this ribosomal RNA (506 nucleotides) under uncultured bacterium. Its description in RNAcentral is "partial 16S ribosomal RNA". It matches the Rfam family "Bacterial small subunit ribosomal RNA", at positions 29 to 523 of the family's 1533-position model. The record is from RNAcentral.
AGUGAACGCUGGCGGUAGGCCUAACACAUGCAAGUCGAACGGCAGCACAGAGGAGCUUGCUCCUUGGGUGGCGAGUGGCGGACGGGUGAGGAAUACAUCGGAAUCUACUCUGUCGUGGGGGAUAACGUAGGGAAACUUACGCUAAUACCGCAUACGACCUACGGGUGAAAGCAGGGGACCUUCGGGCCUUGCGCGAUUGAAUGAGCCGAUGUCGGAUUAGCUAGUUGGCGGGGUAAAGGCCCCCCAAGGCGACGAUCCGUAGCUGGUCUGAGAGGAUGAUCAGCCACACUGGAACUGAGGGACGGUCCAGACUCCUACGGGAGGCAGCAGUGGGGAAUAUUGGACAAUGGGCGCAAGCCUGAUCCAGCCAUACCGCGUGGGUGAAGAAGGCCUUCGGGUUGUAAAGCCCUUUUGUUGGGAAAGAAAUCCAGCUGGCUAAUACCCGGUUGGGAUGACGGUACCCAAAGAAUAAGCACCGGCUAACUUCGUGCCAGCCGCCGCGGUAA